GAUGAACGCUAGCGGCAGGCUUAAUACAUGCAAGUCGAGGGGCAGCGGGGGUAGCAAUACCUGCCGGCGACCGGCAAACGGGUGCGGAACACGUACACAACCUUCCUUUAAGCGGGGGAUAGCCCAGAGAAAUUUGGAUUAAUACCCCAUAGAAUGUUAGUGAGGCAUCUCACAGGCAUUAAAGAUUUAUCACUUGAAGAUGGGUGUGCGUCUGAUUAGGUAGUUGGCGGGGAACGGCCACCAAGCCAGCGAUCAGUAACUGGUGUGAGAGCACGACCAGUCACACGGGCACUGAGACACGGGCCCGACUCCUACGGGAGGCAGCAGUAAGGAAUAUUGGUCAAUGGACGCAAGUCUGAACCAGCCAUGCCGCGUGGAGGAUGAAGGUCCUCUGGAUUGUAAACUUCUUUUAUCUGGGACGAAAAAGGUCAUUCUUGAUCACUUGACGGUACCAGAGGAAUAAGCA
This 466-nucleotide ribosomal RNA is filed under the name uncultured bacterium. Its description in RNAcentral is "bacterial SSU rRNA". It matches the Rfam family "Bacterial small subunit ribosomal RNA", at positions 28 to 492 of the family's 1533-position model. The record is from RNAcentral.